This 604-nucleotide ribosomal RNA is filed under the name Gymnascella littoralis. RNAcentral's name for it is "eukaryotic LSU rRNA". It matches the Rfam family "Eukaryotic large subunit ribosomal RNA", at positions 44 to 662 of the family's 3401-position model. The record is from RNAcentral. Lineage: Eukaryota; Fungi; Ascomycota; Eurotiomycetes; Onygenales; Gymnoascaceae.
CAAUAAGCGGAGGAAAAGAAACCAACAGGGAUUGCCUCAGUAACGGCGAGUGAAGCGGCAAAAGCUCAAAUUUGAAAUCUGGCCCUUUCAGGGUCCGAGUUGUAAUUUGCAGAGGAUGCUUCGGGAGCGGCGGCGGUCUAAGUCCCCUGGAACGGGGCGUCAUAGAGGGUGAGAAUCCCGUCUUGGACCGCAUGCCCGUGACCGUGUGAAGCUCCUUCGACGAGUCGAGUUGUUUGGGAAUGCAGCUCAAAAUGGGUGGUAAAUUUCAUCUAAAGCUAAAUACUGGCUGGAGACCGAUAGCGCACAAGUAGAGUGAUCGAAAGGUUAAAAGCACCUUGAAAAGGGAGUUAAAUAGCACGUGAAAUUGUUGAAAGGGAAGCGCUUGCAACCAGACUCGGCCGCAGAGGCUCAGUGGGCACGUGUGCCCAUGCACUCCUCUGUGGUCGGGCCAGCAUCAGUUCUGACGGCCGGUCAAAGGCCCCCGGAAUGUAUCCUCCUCCGGGAGGUCUUAUAGCCGGGGGUGCAAUGCGGUCAGUCGGGACUGAGGAACGCGCUUCGGCACGGAUGCUGGCGUAAUGGUUGUAAGCGACCCGUCUUGAAACAC